AUUGUUUGAAGGAAAACUAAAGACUUUCUAAUUAGGGUUCUGGGUUGGUUUUUAUAGAGGGAAAAGUGACACAGUUUAAUGGCCUAGUGAUCCUUGCAUUUUGUCUUAAUGGCCUAAUUGCGCAUUGGGUCCUUCAUUCUUUUAUUGCUUUAAAAUCAAGUUUUUUUUUUGUUUUUAAAUUCCUCUAGGAUUUAUUUCGUUUUCAAUCGGGUCUAUAAUUGAACGGCGUCGUUUUGGAGGGCAGGGAUUAAUUUCCCUUUUGAUCCCUCCUUAUUAUUCAUGUGUUCGAUCAAGUUUGUCCUUUUUUUUACUUAUUUUCGAAUCUACCCCAUUUUUUUUGUUUUUAAGUUCAAUUUAGUCCAUCUUUAGCCAUUUUUUUAUUAUUUCUUUUUUUAUUGUUUAUCAUUAUAGCAUUAUUUAUUAUUAUAUUAUUUACUAUCACUGUUAUCAUCAUUACUUCUAUCUUCAUACACGCAUUAUCUUUUUUAUAUAUAAUACAUAUACGCAUGUUUUUUACUCGCAUAGUUUUUUU
RNAcentral lists this long non-coding RNA (532 nucleotides) under Gossypium raimondii (Peruvian cotton). Its description in RNAcentral is "long non-coding RNA (GRAI_LNC003187)". Lineage: Eukaryota; Viridiplantae; Streptophyta; Magnoliopsida; Malvales; Malvaceae. The record is from RNAcentral.